AAAAAAAAAUGAAGCCUAAUAAUUAAAAUUUAAUAAAAAUUAAGAACUCCAGAAGUUUAGGGGUGAAAGAAUUUUCUUUUUUUAGUUAUUUUAGAAUUUGUUUGGGUUUUUAGAGAACAUCAUAUGCAGCUUCUCUUUGAAUCGACUCUUGGACAUGACCGGAAGUGUUAAUUGUUCAUAGAGCACGAGUUCGAUUCAAGACUCGUAAAAUCUGAUUUGUGAAUCAUUUCGAACAUUAAAAUAGUCUGAAAAAAGACUUGUAAAGGUCUUUAAUCGCCAAGAAAUCCUUUGAAUUUUAUUUAUAGUGCAAAAAAACAGCAUAUGCUGAUUAGGUAUGUUUUGACGCUGGGAUGCUGGUUUAUGCUGGUCUUUUGCUGGUUUAUUCUGGUCCUUUGCUGGUUUAUGCAGGUCUUUUGCUGGUUUAUUCUGGUCCUUUUGCUGGUUAAUGCUGGUCCUUUGCUGGUUUAUGCUGGUCCUUUGCUGGUUUAUGCUGGUCCUUUGCUGGUUUAUGCUGGUCCUUUUGCUGGUUUAUUCUGGUCCUUUGCUGGUUUAUGCUGGUCCUUUGCUGGUUUAUGCUGGUCCUUUGCUGGCAAAGGACCAGCAUAAACCAGUAUCCCAGCAUCAAAACAAACCUAACCAGCAUAUGUUGGUUUUUUCAGCAGGGUGUAACGUUACAAAUACUGUAACGUUAAUAAACACGAAACAUUGCACUGAGUCACAGACCCUCACCUUUUUUAGAUAUCUCAACUCAGAAAGCACAAACCCAGUCAAGUUCAUUAAAAUCCCAGCUGUUUGAACAGAAAUGACACAGAACGGAACUGUCUGAGCAGCCAUCCACCACCAGGUGUUCAUUUCCACGGGCAGCACAGUUGAAUCAUCGUCACUGUAGAAACAAACACUAAAAAAAAAACUGUGUACCUCCUGUGCACUAUAUAUUCAGCUGCAUGGAAAACUUUAAUCAGGGAAAUGCCCUAAAUUUUUGUCCAAAUUUCAAUUGUUUUAAAGGAAAUAAAUGUAUUUUGUCUGUGUUGUCUUUUUUAGAUAACUUUGUUUGUUGAACCUGGGGGUAAAAUUGGUUUGUUUUGCAAAGGUUUUCAGGACAAUGACCUACUAAAUGAACAAAGGAGUGAUUUUAGUGACUAAUGCUGUUUGUAAAAAUAUAAAGAAAGCAGGACGUGUGCCUCCUGGGAUAAAUAACCAACUAUGCCGAGUGAAUGAAGGAAAAAAAUAAAAACAACACACACAAUAUAUAAGUGUGCUUUUUCACAAGGGACCCAAAACUUCAUUGCAUUAAAACAAAAUAAAAAAAAUUAGAUUAUUUGAUUUGAAUACAUCACAAAACCUGUUAUGUUGUCUAUCACGGAUGAGGUUUUAAAAUCAAUAUUAUUAUGAUUAUGAAAUGAAUCUGAAAUGGAGUUGUGAGCGGUCAUAUGACCCAGAGGAAAACAAUGCCAGCUGGGUGAACUAAUCAGCUUAAGUGCUGUAAAACUGGUUUGAAUGUAUCUCUAAAAGUAAAGUUUUUAAAAUGCAGCUCUGUAUUUACCCUUUUAAAACUUUCCUGCAAUAACACUGUCAAAUCCAAUUCGCAAUAUAUUAUAGUUUUGAGACGGCCCAAGGUGGAGGAAUAUAAAUCCAGGUUGCUUUUCGCAAGAGAAACCGUGUCUUAUUUUAUUUUUUAUUUUCUUUACAUUUGAUUCAGAUCUAUAGUGUGACUGAAAAGUCAUCUGUGUAUUUCUUUAAGGCAUUAAAAAUCAUAAAAUGCAAUAAAAUCAUAAAUCCCUUCAUGUCAGCAGUCAUUCAUCACAACAUAUACUGAUGUCAAGAGAAUAGUUAAAUUACAGCUGCUAAUGUGCACAACAGCUAAGAGCCC
Long non-coding RNA from Cyprinus carpio carpio, 1870 nucleotides. The record is from Ensembl. Lineage: Eukaryota; Metazoa; Chordata; Actinopteri; Cypriniformes; Cyprinidae.